CGCACACAGACGCUCACCUGCCGCUGACCACUCUAGGGAGGUAGUAACAGGAAUCCAAUUGUGGUUGUAGAGGCAACAGGAAUCCAAUUGUGGUUGUAGAGGCGUUGACUGCAAGUUUAAGGAGUCAUGAAUGCAUAAAACAGCUGCCAAGAACAGCUCAGGUGGCGGCAUGAAGACCUGACACAAUAGGUGUGUUCCACCCACGGCUGCAGGGGAGAUUUCAUUCUGCACAUCCCCCACUAGAACACACAGAGCAGUGGGUCAGCCUCUGCCACAUGGUUGUGGUUUGUGCAUCUGAAAUGCUUUCAUAAGUAAGUUCUUCUCAGUAAGACGGCCUCCUUCCUGUCCAUGUCUCUGUGUGUAUGUGUGCACGGCAGGCGUAUGUGCAGAUAUGUGUGAGCAUGUACAGGCUAUAAGUCAACAUCAGCUCUUGAGGUCGAUCAAUGAGCUUGAAGCUCCCUGAUUGGCUAAAGCUACCCCUUAGGCUUUGGGGCCCUGCCCCGCCCUUCUCUCCUCCCCCUCAGUGCUAGCGUUGAGGGUGGCCAUUGUGAUACCCACAUCUUUUGCAGAUGCUGAAGAUCUAAACUUGGGUCUCCUGCUUAUGUGUCAAGAACUUUACUGACUGAACCAGCCCCUAAAACCAGCCCCUCCAUGCACCUUUCCAGUGAUAUCUGCCUCUCUCCCAAACUCUUUGCCUCUUUAGGAAUCCAGUUAAAUGCACAAAGACAGACACUGGCAUUCAGGUGGUCAGUCCUAGAGUACAGUCCAGUCAGUAUGGCAAACAGAGCUAAGGCAGGAGGGGGGAAACGGAGAGAGAGGGAGAGGGAGAGAGGGAGGGAGGGAGGGAGGGAGAGAGGGAGGGAGAGAGGGAGGGAGAGAGGAGAGAGGAGAGAGGAGAGAGGAGAGAGAGAGAGAGAGAGAGAGAGAGAGAGAGAGAGAGAGAGAGUGUGUUUUCGAUUGGAAAGGGCACUCUGAAAAGGCAAAUGCAAUGGGAUGUAGUGAACAAUGGAGGUGGGCAAAUUGUGCAUGGCACAGUCCCAGAGGGCUUCCAAGAGGAAGUGAUAUUUGAGUUGAGCAUGAAUAUUGGAGUGUCAAUCAAUUCAGAAUUCAGGAAGCAUGUUCCAGGUCAUCAGAAUGUCAGAUAUGAAAUUGUACCUUAAAAGCAAGCAAAGACAGACGGGAAUCAGUCCAGUGUGACGAGAUGGCUUUGAACUAUCAGAAAGAUAAGAACUGACCUCAGAAUGGAGGCCAUGGGCCAGCCAGCACAAUGACUGUCAAAUCUGCCUUGCUGGUCUAGGCAUGUCUGCCCCUCUCUUAUCUCUAUUUGUUUUGGUUUUAGUCUGAAUCACGCAUUUCCCUGUAGUUCUGCGACAAUAAGAGACACCACCACAGAAGUACAAGCACUGAGGUUCCAGGGUAUAACGCAGUUGUUAAAUGUCGAUGGGCGUGUGCAGAAUUUACCUUGUCUGUGCCAAGGAACACGUAUGCGUCCGACAAAAUCUGUCAGAGGCAACGGGAGAGAAAAAGCAGGGUGCCCAACUGAACUGGAGUUGAGUGUCUCUUACUCACACAAUGAGAAAAGGACCCUCCCCCCCUCUGCCUUCCUUGAAAGGAGAGCUGUCAAGAGGGCAGAUCUAUCAUUAAAUCAUGACCGGGAGCACAAGGUUGUCUUAGAGACCCUGACCCAAGAGCAGAAGAUAGCCGUGGGUGGUAGAGUGCUUGCCUUGUAGGCAUGAAGCCCUGACAUCAAUCCCCAUAUUGCAUAAGUCAAUAUGCAAUCACAUAUGAUAAGCAAUCACAGGCCUGUAACCCCAUGACUCAGGAGGUGGCAGCAACAGAAUCAGAAGUUCAAGUUUACAUAUGGAGUUCAAGGACAGCUGGAUUACGUGAGACCCUGUCAACAAGCAAGCAAACCAUGAAGCAGAAAGAAAAGAGGAGAAGAGGAAAGGAGAGGAGAGAAGAGAAAAGAAAACGAAACACUCCGACCUAAUCCCGGACAUUUUGUGUGAACCAGCCAGGGUCAGCAAAUACCUAUCAUCAGAGUUCUUGUUAUGAGAGGGGAAAAUCCAACUUCUAGUCCAGCCGAGCAUAGUGUCGGACAUGACAACAGCAGAGCGAGAAUCACUGAAAACCCGAGAAAUUCAACAUGUACACCUUUUGGGCACCAACAGCUUGGCUUGAACAUGACCUGACGUCAAGACACGGCCAAGAGGAUGACUAAUGAGAGUCAGAAUGAUGACAUCAUUAAAUGCUGAUGACCGCAAUCUAUUUCAUUAUGACGGUGCAUUUUAUUCUUUUCCAGAAUGCAGCCAGGCUUCUGGUAAGAUAAUGAUCAAUUUUUUUUUAAAGCAUAUGCAGUCAUAGACUUGACCACUGUGAUGUUUCAUAUAUGCUCGGCCCGGGGAGGGGCACUAUUAGAAGGUGUGACUCUGUUGGAGUAGGUGUGGCCUUUUGCGGUGGGUGUGGCCUUGUUGGAGUGGGUGUGGCCUUGUUGGAGUAGGCGUGUCACUGCGGGUGUGGGCUUUAAGACACUUAUCCUAGCUGCUUGGAAGCCAGUCUUCCACUAGCAGCCUUCAGAUGAAGAUGUAGAGCUCUCAGCUCCUCCUGCACCAUGCCUGUCUGGAUGCUGCCAUGCUCCUGCCUUGAUGAUGAUGGACUAAACCUCUGAACCUGUGAGCCAGCCCCAAUUAAAUGUUGUCCUUAUAGAGUUGCCUUGGUCAUGGUGUCUGUUCACAGCAGUAAACCCUAACUAAGACAGCCAGUGAGCACAGAGGUAACCCCCUUCUCAUGGAGCCAUCCUUUCGACCUCUGCCUAGCUCAGUGAUGCCCACUGUGUCCUGGAUGCCUCCUACUUGGGAUCUCCAGACAGACAGAGGACAAGUCCUUCUACCUGCUUUCACUGGCUCCGCCCCAGCGGAGGUCAGUCCAUUUCUGGUCCUGGUCUAGAUUCUCCAGCUAUGUUAGGGUCAUGUGCUCUUUAGUUAAUAAGUCUUGCUUUUUCUUAGCACCUCUAACACCCCAGGCUCCAACAAAGUGACAGAGAAAGGCUGCCAGAGAUGUUGACAUCAAUCCUGUGAGUGAGAGGGAGGGUCUGCACCAAAUGGCUCUCUUCAAGUUAAGGUUUUGUGCAGCAACACCCUGUUGGGGAAGGAUCAAAGUGGGGAACUUGAGGCUGCAGUGAAGGUGGCUACAGUAUCCCAGGGGUCCCAUCUUCCUAGGACACAUUGACACACCUGGGGACAGUGCACACAGGAUGGAGACAUUGUCACUUAACCUCACACUUGGUAUGUGGAGGUUUACCGCACAUGAUGCUUCCGAUAUCACUCCCCAUGUUAACAGGGACCCUGUUAGGUUCCAAUAUGACACCAUUAUGAGCAAUUGGGAUUCAUGUGGCCCCUCGUUUUCAUUUAGACCCCCUUACUCUCUUAAAAGGUAGCUGGCCUUUUAAUGAGAUACAUUUCCAUAUAAACCAGUCAGCAAAAAUAUGGACUGGGGCAUCCCCCUAUGACUGUGACCAUCAGCUACAUUGGCUGGAAAGCCUCCCCACUCUGUGUCCGAUCCCCCUUUUCUUCCUGAUCACCAAUAUCUCCAUUGUCACAGACAGCCUUGACUGCCUUAAUGAACCUGUAAGCUGACCACCACAGUGGCUAUCCUGCUGAGGGAAGCAGCCGCUUUUUGGACGCCUGUGGUAAGACCACCCACUUUCAUGACGUCCCUCUGAUGGCCCAGACUCACUCACAACCCCUACACCAGGGAAUAGGGAUUUUGGUAUUACGGUUGCCACCACUGAGGCCACCAUUGCUGCUGCCUUGACCCAGACAGACACUAUGGCGGAGACUGUCAAUGCUGCAGUCUCUAAGUCAGCUGAGGUGCUGCAGGCACAGUGGGUACUAAAUCAACAUCUUUAUCAUGGCGCCCACAUUUUACAGCAACAGAUCGACUUACUGGCAGAAGAGGUGGCCCUUGUUAGGGACAUGGCUCUAUUGCCAUGCGUCCCCAGGUUUCACUCAAUCUGCCUAACUCCUUACCAGGUACACAACACCACUGAAGCCCGACAACAGUUGGCUCCAUAUCUUAAAGGUACCUGGUCAGACUAAUUCCUUAACUAUUCUGUACUGUAAUGGAGAACAUAGCCAACCUCAGUGUGACCUGAUUAUCUGUGCUCUCCCUAGAUGCUGGGUUCUUGGGAGAAGUGUGGGACGAUAUUGAAAGGCUGCUUGACCUCUCAUGAAUAGCCACUUAUGCUAUGAUGGGAGGAGCGGUCAUAGCAAUAAUUAUUGUGUUUAAGUGUCCCACACAGCAUAUCUCCAGGCAGCGCUCCAUAAACAAAGCAACCCUCCACGUGCUGAUGGCUCUCAAUUGUGCCCCCCUAAAGAAGUGUUCAAAGCAUAGAUGGAAGAGAUGGGGCCACCUCUGUCAAAACACCAGGGGCUGCGCAGCCGCAAAACCAUCUCCUGCAGGAGGACCUAAUUGAGGACAGUCUGAGAGACCAAGGAUUGCUGGUGCAGACAGUGCCAGCCAAUCAGGAACUGUUGUUUAGAAGAGAUGCUCUCUUGGAACCAAUGGGGCGCGGGCAAGGGUAUUAAGGGAGCUUAUAGCAGUUCAGAGAGCUUGCUGCUGCGUUUCUCACUUGCUCCCGGAGUCUGUAUUGCUUGUUCCGUGCUACCUUCCCUCUAACUCCCAAGGACAGGUAUGGAGUAGUCCAGAUACUUACUCAUGGGCAGCAGAGACUCGCCUAAUGAAGAAAACUGUAAAGGAACGGGAGAUACAAACACAGAACCACAAGAAGGAAACACAGAGCCUUGGCCAGGUGCUCAGUGACACAGGAGAUAGGGUUACAGUGCAGUUGGACAUUAACGUCAGUAAUUCAGUAGGAAAGGUGGUUAGGAGAUGGAUGUUGGGGUCCCCUACCCCAUUAACAACACACUGCUGGGUAUAAGGCUGUUGAGUGCCCCUGAAAUAGGCCGCCCUGUGAUCAUGUGCAUCCCUGUACUGAAGAUCAGAACGGACCCAGAGAUCAUUCCCACCAUCUUUAGAGACAGCAGGCAGGAAACCAGUCACGACCUGAGCCUUGACUAGGGAGGAAGUCAACACCCCUCUCCGUGUACCUUCAGUCUACACUCCAAAGGAGUCGGAUCCACUUCGACGUUGAACGUUGUCUUGACAAAUUCUAUCCCCAAGUACCAGAGCCCGACUCUCCAAAAUCUCUCUUGGAAGACAGAAUUCUCAAACACGGGGCGUUCUCAACACUGCUAAGGUCCCUACACUUCCGUACACUCGGUAACAGGGGGAGCACAUUUUGUUGGAAGAGAUGUUACAUGACGGUCCCCGGAGCUCACAUUCAGCUGACUUCAGUGUGUUGACCAAAAAUAGAAACUGGCUUACAUACCCUUCCAUUUUUAGGGAAGGUGAAGACAUAGAUUUCGACACUUGAUUUUCUUAGCUCUGGGAACACUGUAGGCUAAACUGCUUGGCCCCGAGGGACCUCUUUGCUAUUGGCUGCCCUGGGCAGGGUGAUAGAUUUAAAAUUCAUUCCUGACAUCCAGUUGACACGGGGUUUUAAAAGCGUGUUUAAUAUUGCACUGGUCGCCACUUCUGCUCACAAAGAGUUCAGCUGCCACUGGCUUCCGGUUCUUGUUCCUCAUUUGGUGGUUUCUUCAACUUCAGCCCCAGUCUAUUGUCUGACCUGGGUGCUAGUCUCUAGGUGGGAAGAGAGGCGAUGAACAGGUUGAGAGCAAGGAAAGCUGAAACACACCACGCCUCACGCCAGUAGCCUUGCAGGAAAGGAUUGAAGGCUGCUGGGCACAGCGUCAUUCCUGUCUUUCCCUGUGCCCUGUCAGUGCUCCGUGGGGUCAGUCAGCUGGCUCGGUGUCUUAGUCAGGGUUCCUAUUCCUGCACAAACAUCAGGACCAAGAAGCAAGAUGGGGAGGAAAGGGUUUAUUCAGCUUACACUUCCGCAUUGCUGUUCAUCACCAAAGGAAGUCAGGACUGGAACUCAAGCAGGUCAGGAAGCAGGAGCUGAUGCAGAGGCCAUGGAGGGAUGUUACUUACUGGCUUGCUUCCCCUGGCCUGCUCAGCUUGCUCUCUUAUAGAACCCAAGACCACCAGCCUAGGGGAUGGCACCACCCACAAUGGGCUGGGUCCUCCCCUCUUGAUCACUAGGUGAGAAAAUGCCUUACAGCUGGGUCUCAUGGAGUCAUUUCCUCAACUUCUCCUUUCUCCUUUCUCUGUGGUAUCUCCAGCUUGUAUCAAGUUGACACACAAAACCAGCCAGAACACUUGGGAAUCCAUAGGUUUCAAACACACAUAGGCUGAUGGUUUGUUUUCCAUCCGAAACUUCUUUCUGAGACCGGCGUCUCUUUGAGAAAAGAUGACAGGUGGCCUGCGUCUCCCCCGCUCUCCUGAACUUUGAGGAACAGGAUUACUCUUAGCCAAGGAAGGAAUCAGCUCUGUCCAUGUUACAGAAAUCCCAAGAACUUAACCUGGUGCCAGUAAAUAUUAUCUGGAUCACAGAGCACGUUUGGCAGUGGGCAGAGACAGCUAAAUCUUAAAAGCAAAGACUACACAGAAGGCAUAGGGAGAUCAAAGGAAAAGAUCCACACAGGUUCGAGGGUUUGAAGACGGGGCCUCCAGCUGAUGGCUGUUCCAAGAGGUUGCAGAACCUUUUAGUAAAAAUGUCUAGUUGGCAGGCUUGGAGGUGUAGAGGGACCCUGGACAAAUCCUCGCUCAGAUCCGGAGGGACGACUGCGUAUCCAGAGCAAUACCGUUGGCACACAGAUCAGGGUGAGGACUGUUAACGGGCCGUUUCACAUCCUUUGUGAAUCCCAGAGAGCGGCACAUGGAGGGGACGCCCCACCAUCCUGGAAUGUGCCUGUGGACACCGCCUUCCACACCGGCAGUAGCGUGUCUCGGGUGUCUCCUGUAGAUCUGCAUUCCCUCUCGUUUUGCACAGGAGCAGGCAUUCUUUUUGUCUUCCAACCACCACAGCCCCAGCACCCAGCAGCUCGCAGAAGCUUAAUAAAUGUUUGAUAUAAAAA
Rattus norvegicus (Norway rat) is the source of this 7037-nucleotide non-coding RNA. Lineage: Eukaryota; Metazoa; Chordata; Mammalia; Rodentia; Muridae. The record is from RefSeq and is a predicted model, not a curated record.